RNAcentral lists this unclassified non-coding RNA (159 nucleotides) under soil metagenome. Its description in RNAcentral is "partial internal transcribed spacer 1". The record is from RNAcentral.
CAGAGUUGCAAAACUCCCUAAACCAUUCGCGAACGUUACCCUAGACGUCGUUGCUUCGGCGGGCUCGCCCGUUCCCGGGGGACGCCACCAUGGCCCAUCUCUGCCCGUACACGGCCUCACUCUUGAGUACUUGCCUCUGAGUCUUCUUACAAUAAGUCA